RNAcentral lists this ribosomal RNA (102 nucleotides) under Phocaeicola vulgatus. RNAcentral describes it as "Bacteroides vulgatus partial 23S ribosomal RNA". It matches the Rfam family "Bacterial large subunit ribosomal RNA", at positions 2822 to 2925 of the family's 2925-position model. Lineage: Bacteria; Pseudomonadati; Bacteroidota; Bacteroidia; Bacteroidales; Bacteroidaceae. The record is from RNAcentral.
AGAUUUCUCAGGGUCGUUGUAGACUACGACGUUGAUAGGAUGCAGGUGUAAAGAUGGAGACAUCAAAGCCGAGCAUUACUAAUUGCCCGUCCACUUUCCUUA